RNAcentral lists this ribosomal RNA (253 nucleotides) under uncultured prokaryote. Its description in RNAcentral is "partial 16S ribosomal RNA". It matches the Rfam family "Bacterial small subunit ribosomal RNA", at positions 524 to 776 of the family's 1533-position model. The record is from RNAcentral.
GACGAACCAUGCAAACGUUAUUCGGAAUCACUGGGUUUAAAGGGUGCGUAGGUGGUCCGUUAAGUUCGUUGUGAAAGCCCUUGGCUCAACCAAGGAAUUGCUUCGAAUACUGGCGGACUUGAGGCUAGUAGAGGUCACUGGAACUGACGGUGGAGCGGUGAAAUGCGUAGAUAUCGUCAGGAACGCCGGUGGUGAAGACGGGUGACUGGGCUAGUUCUGACACUGAGGCACGAAAGCGUGGGGAGCGAACGGG